GGAGGCAUAGUUCAGUGGUAGAGUGCAUGCUUAGCAUGCAUGAGGUCCUGGGUUCAAUCCCCAGCACCUCCA
This 72-nucleotide transfer RNA is filed under the name Camelus dromedarius (Arabian camel). It matches the Rfam family "tRNA". From Rfam's summary of the family: Transfer RNA (tRNA) molecules are approximately 80 nucleotides in length. Their secondary structure includes four short double-helical elements and three loops (D, anti-codon, and T loops). Further hydrogen bonds mediate the characteristic L-shaped molecular structure. tRNAs have two regions of fundamental functional importance: the anti-codon, which is responsible for specific mRNA codon recognition, and the 3' end, to which the tRNAs corresponding amino acid is attached (by aminoacyl-tRNA synthetases). tRNAs cope with the degeneracy of the genetic code in two manners: having more than one tRNA (with a specific anti-codon) for a particular amino acid; and 'wobble' base-pairing, i.e. permitting non-standard base-pairing at the 3rd anti-codon position. The record is from Rfam by way of RNAcentral. RNAcentral also lists the same sequence under 1 other name. Lineage: Eukaryota; Metazoa; Chordata; Mammalia; Artiodactyla; Camelidae.